This 1372-nucleotide ribosomal RNA is filed under the name uncultured bacterium. Its description in RNAcentral is "bacterial SSU rRNA". It matches the Rfam family "Bacterial small subunit ribosomal RNA", at positions 28 to 1381 of the family's 1533-position model. The record is from RNAcentral.
GAUGAACGCUGGCGGCGUGCCUAAUACAUGCAAGUCGAGCGAACGGACGAGAAGCUUGCUUCUCUGAUGUUAGCGGCGGACGGGUGAGUAACACGUGGAUAACCUACCUAUAAGACUGGGAUAACUUCGGGAAACCGGAGCUAAUACCGGAUAAUAUUUUGAACCGCAUGGUUCAAAAGUGAAAGACGGUCUUGCUGUCACUUAUAGAUGGAUCCGCGCUGCAUUAGCUAGUUGGUAAGGUAACGGCUUACCAAGGCAACGAUGCAUAGCCGACCUGAGAGGGUGAUCGGCCACACUGGAACUGAGACACGGUCCAGACUCCUACGGGAGGCAGCAGUAGGGAAUCUUCCGCAAUGGGCGAAAGCCUGACGGAGCAACGCCGCGUGAGUGAUGAAGGUCUUCGGAUCGUAAAACUCUGUUAUUAGGGAAGAACAUAUGUGUAAGUAACUGUGCACAUCUUGACGGUACCUAAUCAGAAAGCCACGGCUAACUACGUGCCAGCAGCCGCGGUAAUACGUAGGUGGCAAGCGUUAUCCGGAAUUAUUGGGCGUAAAGCGCGCGUAGGCGGUUUUUUAAGUCUGAUGUGAAAGCCCACGGCUCAACCGUGGAGGGUCAUUGGAAACUGGAAAACUUGAGUGCAGAAGAGGAAAGUGGAAUUCCAUGGGAGGCGGUGAAAUGCGCAGAGAUAUGGAGGAACACCAGGGCGAAAGGCGACUUUUUGGUCUGUAACUGACGCUGAUGGCGAAAAGCGUGGGGAUCAAACAGGAUUAGAUACCCUGGUAGUCCACGCCGUAAACGAUGAGUGCUAAGUGUUAGGGGGUUUCCGCCCCUUAGUGCUGCAGCUAACGCAUUAAGCACUCCGCCUGGGGAGUACGACCGCAAGGUUGAAACUCAAAGGAAUUGACGGGGACCCGCACAAGCGGUGGAGCAUGUGGUUUAAUUCGAAGCAACGCGAAGAACCUUACCAAAUCUUGACAUCCUUUGACAACUCUAGAGAUAGAGCCUUCCCCUUCGGGGGACAAAGUGACAGGUGGUGCAUGGUUGUCGUCAGCUCGUGUCGUGAGAUGUUGGGUUAAGUCCCGCAACGAGCGCAACCCUUAAGCUUAGUUGCCAUCAUUAAGUUGGGCACUCUAAGUUGACUGCCGGUGACAAACCGGAGGAAGGUGGGGAUGACGUCAAAUCAUCAUGCCCCUUAUGAUUUGGGCUACACACGUGCUACAAUGGACAAUACAAAGGGCAGCGAAACCGCGAGGUCAAGCAAAUCCCAUAAAGUUGUUCUCAGUUCGGAUUGUAGUCUGCAACUCGACUACAUGAAGCUGGAAUCGCUAGUAAUCGUAGAUCAGCAUGCUACGGUGAAUACGUUCCCGGGUCU